GACGAACGCUGGCGGCGCGCCUAACACAUGCAAGUCGAACGAGCGAGAGAGAGUUUACUUUUUCGAGCGAGUGGCGAACGGGUGAGUAACGCGUGAGGAACCUGCCUCAAAGAGGGGGACAACAGUUGGAAACGACUGCUAAUACCGCAUAAGCCCACGACCCGGGCAUCGGGUAGAGGGAAAAGGAGCAAUCCGCUUUGAGAUGGCCUCGCGUCCGAUUAGCUAGUUGGUGAGGUAAUGGCCCACCAAGGCGACGAUCGGUAGCCGGACUGAGAGGUUGAACGGCCACAUUGGGACUGAGGCACGGCCCAGACUCCUACGGGAGGCAGCAGUGGGGAAUAUUGCACAAUGGGGGAAACCCUGAUGCAGCGACGCCGCGUGGAGGAAGAAGGUCUUCGGAUUGUAAACUCCUGUUGUUGAGGAAGAUAAUGACGGUACUCAACAAGGAAGUGACGGCUA
Molecule: ribosomal RNA, 459 nt
Filed under: uncultured bacterium
Lineage: Bacteria
Description: bacterial SSU rRNA
Rfam family: Bacterial small subunit ribosomal RNA
Source: RNAcentral